RNAcentral lists this ribosomal RNA (433 nucleotides) under uncultured bacterium. Its description in RNAcentral is "partial 16S ribosomal RNA". It matches the Rfam family "Bacterial small subunit ribosomal RNA", at positions 28 to 507 of the family's 1533-position model. The record is from RNAcentral.
GACGAACGCUGGCGGCAUGCCUAACACAUGCAAGUCGAACGAUACCUUCCUCCCGAGUGGCUCACGGCUACGUGAAGCGUGGGAGCCGGCCCUUAGGGUCAGAAUAACUCAACGUACCGGUUGCUAAUACCGAAUAAUGUCUUCGGGCCAAGAAUUUAUCGCACUUGUAUGUGCCCGCGUUGGUUUGGCUAGUUGGUACGGUAAAAGCCUACGAAGGCGUCGAUCCGUAGCUGGUCUGUGAGGAUGAGCGGCGACACUGGGACGGGGACACGGCACAGAAUCUUACGGGAGGCAGGAGAGGGGAAUAGAGGACAAUGGGGGAAAGGCUGAUCCAGUUAGGCCGCGUGAGUGAUGAAGUCCUUAGGGUAGUAAAGCUCUUGUACCCGAGCUGAUAAUGACAGUACCGAGAGAAUAAGCCCCGGCUAACUCCGUG